This 476-nucleotide ribosomal RNA is filed under the name uncultured bacterium. RNAcentral's name for it is "partial 16S ribosomal RNA". It matches the Rfam family "Bacterial small subunit ribosomal RNA", at positions 28 to 507 of the family's 1533-position model. The record is from RNAcentral.
GACGAACGCUGGCGGCGUGCUUAAUACAUGCAAGUCGAACGCUGAGGCGCUGAGCUUGCUCGUCUUGCAAGUGUUGAACACGUGAGUAUAACGCGUGUGUCCCCUGCCUUGUAGCGGGGUAUCACUAGUGGAAACGGGCUAUAAUCCCAUAUAACAACGUGCUGCACGUUUGGGUUUGGUGAGAGUGGCAGUUUCGGCGGGUGGGGAUGGACUUGCGUUGUAUUAGCUGGUUGGUGGGGUAGUGGCUUACCAAGGCGUUGACGGGUAGCCGGCCUGAGAGGGUGACCGGCCACAUGGGGACUGAGAUACGGCCCAGACUCCUACGGGAGGCAGCAGUGGGGAAUAUUGCACAAUGGGCGGAAGCCUGAUGCAGCAACGCCGCGUGCGGGAUGACGGCCUUCGGGUUGUAAACCGCUUUCGCCGGUGACGAAGCGUGAGUGACGGUAAUGGGUAAAGAAGCACCGGCUAACUACGUG